Molecule: ribosomal RNA, 253 nt
Filed under: uncultured bacterium
Lineage: Bacteria
Description: partial 16S ribosomal RNA
Rfam family: Bacterial small subunit ribosomal RNA
Source: RNAcentral
UACGAAGGGGGCUAGCGUUGUUCGGAAUUACUGGGCGUAAAGCGCACGUAGGCGGAUAUUUAAGUCGGGGGUGAAAUCCCGGGGCUCAACCCCGGAACUGCCUUCGAUACUGGGUAUCUUGAGUUCGGAAGAGGUGAGUGGAAUUGCGAGUGUAGAGGUGAAAUUCGUAGAUAUUCGCAGGAACACCAGUGGCGAAGGCGGCUCACUGGCCCGAUACUGACGCUGAGGCACGAAAGCGUGGGGAGCAAACAGG